This is a long non-coding RNA of Esox lucius (northern pike), 2429 nucleotides long. The record is from Ensembl. Lineage: Eukaryota; Metazoa; Chordata; Actinopteri; Esociformes; Esocidae.
UAUAACAAUGUUCAAAUAAUCCCUUUAUUUUAACACCUGAGAAUACGUAAUCUGGAUGAUCAGAUAUUCACAAUCAGAAAAAAGUAUCAACAAUCUUCACUGGAGAUUUUGGACAAUAAAAUAUUUUACAUUACAUUAAACAUUUUCUUUUAAAAUUAAAUCUAAACAAAUAUUACAUUUUGUUUAAAUGGCCAUGGGUUGAGAAACAAAUCCCCUUUAGCUGUUGGCUGGAUGAAACCAUGAUAAAGUAAGAGGUACACCAUCAUGAAAAUAUGAUAAACUAAAGGACCUAUUCAUAAAAAAAGCACAUGUGUCUGUGUCCUCUGAAUCUAUCCACAGUAUGAAUGUCCAUUCGCUCUGCUAGACCAUGAAACUAGAAAACACACAGAAGAAGGUCCUCACAUGUACAGGAAUGUGAUUGUCUACAUUUCCAUACAGCCCCACAUUCCCAUUCAUUAUAGGAUCCUGUGUUCAAAAAAUGUAAGAAUAAUUAUACUUAAAAAAAGUAUUAUUAUUUUUGUCAAUAUGUCUAAUAAAGAAAUCACAUGAACCACAUUGGUUGCACAGAGAACAUAAAAUGAAUGUAAAAAAAAUGUAUUAACAGAAAGUACCCUGAUGUUGUCAAAAUACAUCAAACACAAAGACAGAAUUAGGAGGAAAACAUGUUGACCAUCCUCGGAAAGACAAUCAGAUGAAAGCUGAGAAAAAGCAUUACAGUAAGAGAUGGAUCCAGGCAGCAUGUGGACACCUAAGAGCUUUAAGGCAUCACCUCUCACAGUUUUACAAGUGUCUCUUUGGCCCUGAAGUAAAUCUCUUUGGAGCGGUGUUGUUUCUGUAGGCCUGAGGUAAACUCUGCUUGAUUAAUGCAGUAGUGCAAUGGGAAUAUGGUCUCCAUCUCAAAGACAUAAUGGCUAUUCCCUGUCACAAAACCUGAGAGAUCCAGAACUAACAAAGGAAAGAUGAGUGUUUCUGAUGAUUUAAUGCACAUCUCUAUGGAUUUAUUAGCCUGCGAGCCUCUCCUCCCUCCACUCCUAGUUGUUUCUCCGUUCUCAUCUAGCCUCUCUGUCCAUUUAUUCCCCUGACACAUUUCCUUUUAGGAAGUCUGCCUAUUUCCUCUGAAACAUAGGAAACUGUAAGAUUUUGGAUCAUCAUCUUUUCACUCUCAGGUAAAUAUUCUACAUUCAAGUAUGCAACUGCCAAAGGCUCAAAUUAAUUUUUGUCUGGAAGAAAUCUCUAUCAGAAUAUUCUCUCACUGUCUUUCUAUUUUUUUUCCUCUCUAUUGGUCUGUUUCUUGUAUAUUUCUCUCUCUAGCGUUGACAUUUUCCUGCUACCUCAAUAACUAAACUUUAAAGGAACAGCUAUCACUCUCCCCCCCUUCCUGUGUGCAUCUGGCCCCUGUCAGGGCUGUUCCUCUGUGGCUUCAACAUCUGGCUGGGUCUUCCUCUGCAGCAGCUGCCCGUGUUAAGCCUCCACCACAGCAGUCCUCCCCCCUGGCUGCCCCAGAUUGAUCUGUACAGCGCGGCUCCACGCUUCACUGUCUCUCCCAUCUGCCUUAGAGAGCUAGGGCAGGUGACUAAUGUACCAGCACUCUGCUAACUGCUGAUUGCUGCUGCUCUUAGACCAGGUAAUGACAACAGCCUAGACAGCCUCUAUACUAACUAGGGUAGGAAAAUAGCACACCGGCAACAAAGACUCGGCUAAUUAUGCUAGCCUGUAUAGGAACUGUAUAGGAUGCAUGUAUACAGAGACAGUUGAGAGGGAAUUAUAAAAACAAAGUGCAUACAUUCAUACACGUUAACGUGUAAAACUGCCAUGGUGUGAGAGAAACUCUGCAACUGCACUGGACUGAAUAUAAUGAAGGUCCAUCCUGCACUGGCCUGACUAUAAUGAUGGUCCAUCCUGCACUGGACUGAAUAUAAUGAAGGUCCAUCCUGCACUGGACUGAAUAUAAUGAAGGUCCAUCCUGCACUGGACUGAAUAUAAUGAAGGUCCAUCCUGCACUGGACUGAAUAUAAUGAAGGUCCAUCCUGCACUGGACUGAAUAUAAUGAAGGUCCAUCCUGCACUGGACUGAAUAUAAUGAAGGUUCAUCCUGCACUGGACUGAAUAUAAUGAAGGUCCAUCCUGCGCUGGACUGAAUAUAAUGAAGGUCCAUCCUGCACUGGACUGAAUAUAAUUACAAGAUCCAUCCAUCAGUUAUCUUACAAUACAAAAAUAAAUGCUGAGUAAAUAGUAUAAUAAAUAAGUAAUUUAACACGUUAUGUACAGUACAUACACCUGUUCUAUUUACACAUUUACAAAUCAGAGAGAGUGAAGGUCGUUUUGAAGGACUCCUCGUUACUGUAGAACCACUGAGAGGAUGGACAUCUUGGCUCGAAGAGCACCUACAGAGAGGUGUAAAGAGAGACGCCAACCCAGCAUCCAACACAG